This 428-nucleotide ribosomal RNA is filed under the name uncultured bacterium. RNAcentral's name for it is "bacterial SSU rRNA". It matches the Rfam family "Bacterial small subunit ribosomal RNA", at positions 29 to 464 of the family's 1533-position model. The record is from RNAcentral.
AACGAACGCUGGCGGCGUGGAUAAGACAUGCAAGUCGAACGAGAGAAUUGCUAGCUUGCUAAUAAUUCUCUAGUGGCGCACGGGUGAGUAACACGUGAGUAACCUGCCCCCGAGAGCGGGAUAGCCCUGGGAAACUGGGAUUAAUACCGCAUAGUAUCGAAAGAUUAAAGCAGCAAUGCGCUUGGGGAUGGGCUCGCGGCCUAUUAGUUAGUUGGUGAGGUAACGGCUCACCAAGGCGAUGACGGGUAGCCGGUCUGAGAGGAUGUCCGGCCACACUGGAACUGAGACACGGUCCAGACACCUACGGGUGGCAGCAGUCGAGAAUCAUUCACAAUGGGGGAAACCCUGAUGGUGCGACGCCGCGUGGGGGAAUGAAGGUCUUCGGAUUGUAAACCCCUGUCAUGUGGGAGCAAAUUAAAAAGAUAGUA